UACUUCCAAUUCCAACCAAUCUGAGGAAAGGCAGGAAGGCAAUCCUCCAAUGGGAGCUGAGGAGCCCGCGGUUGUGUGGAGCAUCGCUACCCUGCCAGGGCUAGGCGGAGCGUUGCGUGAAGCGUCCGUGUAUCUGCGAGAUCUUGCUGUGGGCCAGGUAUCCAUUCUCCUGUGGCAGCCGUAGAACCUACGGAGACUAGAGGUCCGUGGGUGGUGGAGGAUCCUUUGCGUAGCAAAAAAGGAAGGCGAGUGCUCCUGCAUCCUCUCCAGACGAUACCCAGGAGUCCUUCUAGAUCACAUCUUUUGAAACUCACUGUCAAGUACCACAAAUCUCUUCCCAUUGCUGCCCUAACUUUUCAAUAUUCUUACUAUACUUUUGUCAUCCUGACAACUAUAGAUCCAAUAUUCUAUUUUUAUAAUGUGUAGUUUUCCUCCUUCACUAUUUUUUAAUGAAGAGCAUAAAAAGUAGACUAUAUAUACAAUCCUUCCACAGCUUAUAAUGAUGCUUUCAUUGUAAUAUAAUGGCGAACAAUUUAUUUUUGUAUGCUUGUUUGUUUCUGUUUUUCAAAGCAGGCUUUCUCUGUGUACAGCAUUGGCUGUUCUGGAACUCACUUUGUAAAUCAGGCUGGCCUCAAACUCUGCCUCCCAAGUGCUGGGGCUGAAGAAACUUUUGUAAUAAAACAGUUAUGCACUUCAAUAUGUAAAUGCUUUGAUAUGACUUCACUAAAAGAAAUCAUUUUACACAUUAAUUCAAGAAUGUGACUUGUGCAUGUGACAGCUACAUGUGUAUUGAUUGAGUGGUGACUCAGAAACCAUAGGGAGGAUAUAGUUCCAUUUCCAUAAAUGAUGAAUUAAUUCCUCAUAAAGUUCUAAACAAAAGAAUGUGUAAAUGCCUCUCUGUCUGAGUGCUAGAUUUCUAGAGAAACAAAUAUAAAUGAAUAUCCUUAUUCACUAACUCCUCUAGCCUUACCUCAUACCACUCUGCUCCUUUAUUCCAUUUCACCUAUAAUAGCCUCCUUAAGGUUAUUUGAAUGCAUUAGGCACACUUAUGCCUGGAGGGGGGCUGUCUUAGGCUUUUCCCUCCCUUUACAUUACUUUUCCCCAAAUUGUCCACAGGUCUCAUUGCCUCACUUUCUUCAGGUUUCUGUUUGGUUGUCGUUUUCUUGUUGAGGUCUACCAUGAUGAUCCUGCUUAAAACAUCCAUCAGAGUCCGAACACUAACUCACCUUUACUGGUUUCCAUCGCAUUCCAUCAUCUUACAAAGUACAGUUUUGUGUUGCUUAACAAUAGGAAUAUAUCUCGAGGAAAUAUGUAAUUUUGUCAUUGUUCAAAAUAUAGAGUGCUUACUCAAACUAAGACCUGUGACAUCACCAGACAAUACAGUUGUAUGAGAUGAACAUCAUUUAAACAGGCCACUGUGGACCAAAACUUCAUUAUACAGUGUGUGGUUGUAUGCUGUUUACUUCUAUUGU
Molecule: long non-coding RNA, 1472 nt
Organism: Rattus norvegicus (Norway rat)
Lineage: Eukaryota; Metazoa; Chordata; Mammalia; Rodentia; Muridae
Source: Ensembl